This 684-nucleotide ribosomal RNA is filed under the name Streptomyces sp. CA_LC_4. RNAcentral's name for it is "bacterial SSU rRNA". It matches the Rfam family "Bacterial small subunit ribosomal RNA", at positions 99 to 797 of the family's 1533-position model. Lineage: Bacteria; Bacillati; Actinomycetota; Actinomycetes; Kitasatosporales; Streptomycetaceae. The record is from RNAcentral.
CGAACGGGUGAGUAACACGUGGGCAAUCUGCCCUUCACUCUGGGACAAGCCCUGGAAACGGGGUCUAAUACCGGAUAUCACUCUCGCAGGCAUCUGUGAGGGUCGAAAGCUCCGGCGGUGAAGGAUGAGCCCGCGGCCUAUCAGCUUGUUGGUGAGGUAACGGCUCACCAAGGCGACGACGGGUAGCCGGCCUGAGAGGGCGACCGGCCACACUGGGACUGAGACACGGCCCAGACUCCUACGGGAGGCAGCAGUGGGGAAUAUUGCACAAUGGGCGAAAGCCUGAUGCAGCGACGCCGCGUGAGGGAUGACGGCCUUCGGGUUGUAAACCUCUUUCAGCAGGGAAGAAGCGAAAGUGACGGUACCUGCAGAAGAAGCGCCGGCUAACUACGUGCCAGCAGCCGCGGUAAUACGUAGGGCGCAAGCGUUGUCCGGAAUUAUUGGGCGUAAAGAGCUCGUAGGCGGUCUGUCGCGUCGGAUGUGAAAGCCCGGGGCUUAACCCCGGGUCUGCAUUCGAUACGGGCAGACUAGAGUGUGGUAGGGGAGAUCGGAAUUCCUGGUGUAGCGGUGAAAUGCGCAGAUAUCAGGAGGAACACCGGUGGCGAAGGCGGAUCUCUGGGCCAUUACUGACGCUGAGGAGCGAAAGCGUGGGGAGCGAACAGGAUUAGAUACCCUGGUAGUCCA